Long non-coding RNA from Cervus elaphus (red deer), 1338 nucleotides. RefSeq lists it as uncharacterized. The transcript has 5 exons. The record is from RefSeq and is a predicted model, not a curated record. NCBI's taxonomy places the organism in Eukaryota, Metazoa, Chordata, Mammalia, Artiodactyla, Cervidae.
CGGCCUCCUCUCCGGAAGGAAACGAUCCCGGUCGGGCCGCCUCCAGCUUUCAGCGCCUACGCCCCCUCGUGCCUCCUCCCCGGGUCCUAGUUCGUCGUCCCAUUUCCCGUCCCGUCCCGCCCCUCCGCCCGGCCUCGAAGCACACCCGCGUCCGGGGGCUCCGUCGCCCCCCUCCCAGCGCGUCGGCUCCACUGACCUCAUCGGCUGAGCUCGGGUCCCAGAUCCCCGGGCGAGCGCCCGCAUCUCCCUCCCCUCUCGUCUCCCCCGGCCCGCAGCCGGUGUCUGCACCUGUUCCUCACUUGUAAUAAUUAGAAGCACUGGAGGCUGAGAUGGCUGGAUGGCAUCACUGAGGCAAUCGACAUGAACUUGGGCAAACUUCCGGAGAUGGUGAGGGACAGUCCAUGGGGUCACAAAGAGUCGGACACAACUGAGCAACUGAACAGCAAGAUAGUCUGAUCAGUUACGAAAGUUAAAGAAAUCAGCAUGUAAGGGGAUGAUAGAAGCUCAUAUACUGAAACAUGAAAAGCUUUAUCUAAGACAUGAUUCACCUGUUCGAAUCAUCAAUGUACUCUGAGAAGAAGAAAUGAAACUCCGGCUGUCACUUAUGAAAGGAUUAAGAGGUGACCAUUUCAGAAUUAACACUUGCCUAUCUUCACUCCCUCCUGGGCUUGUAUGACAGUCUCUUAGACAUAAGCAAAACAUCCAAUCAAGCUUUUACAAGUAAAGAAGCACUGUGUGUGAUAUGAGGAUUUGUUUUUUCCUGUAAUUGUCUAUGAUUAGGCAGUGAGCUUCAAGAUCUUCAGAGAGCUUCUAAUCACCAAUCUGAAUUUAUUCUAAAAAGAUUUUUUAUUUUAAUUUUCUCCUUUAGCUACUCUCCUAAAAUACUAAUAAACUUCAACUUAAAAUUUACUAUCUUAAAAAGUUAAAAUGUACAUGCCGUCUUUCCUCUGGUUUAAUUUUCAAACUCUGUUAAUUACUUGGUUUCUUUUCCUGUCCUAUAGAUCACUGCUAUUGAAAAGAAAUACAAUAUGAUCCACAUGUACAAUUAAAACUUCUCUAGAACCCACAUUUUAAAAAGUAAAAACAGGUGAAGUUAAUCUAAAGAAUACACUUUGUUUUACCCACUAUAUCCAGUUCUACUAAGUUUUAAAGCUCAUUUUUUGAAUAAUAAAAAGACAAAUGGAUUUCGAAACAUUUACAGGAUUUAUUGUGCUACUUUCUUAAGUAUCAAUAUAUAAAUAUUAUGCAUACUGAUCAAUACAAAUAUGAUACAUAUGUAUGCAUGUAAAUACAGGUAUAUACAGUGAAUAUAUAUAUAAUGUUUUCUUUAUAGCCACA